RNAcentral lists this ribosomal RNA (403 nucleotides) under uncultured bacterium. RNAcentral describes it as "partial 16S ribosomal RNA". It matches the Rfam family "Bacterial small subunit ribosomal RNA", at positions 30 to 526 of the family's 1533-position model. The record is from RNAcentral.
AUUGAACGCUGGCGGCAGGCCUAAAACAUGCAAGUCGAGCGAGCGGCGGACGGGUGAGUAAUGGAUGGGGACUGGCCGAGGGAGGGGGAUAACUGCUGGAAACGGUAGAUAAUCACGCGUACUCUCGGAUAACCCAUAUGGGAUUAGCUAGUGGGUGAGGUAACGUCUAAACUAGGAGACGAUCCCUAGCUGGUCUGAGAGGAUGAUCAGCAUCCAUGGGACGGUGACACGUGCCAGAUUCCUACGGAGGCAGCAGUGGGGAAGAUUGCACAAUGGGCGCAAGCCUGAUGCAGCCAUGCCGCGUGUAUGAAGAAGGCCCUAGGGUUGUAAAGUACUUUAAGUCGGGAGGCGUUACCGACAGAAGAAGAACCGGCUAACUCCGUGCCAGCCGCCGCGGUAAUAC